RNAcentral lists this ribosomal RNA (253 nucleotides) under uncultured bacterium. RNAcentral's name for it is "partial 16S ribosomal RNA". It matches the Rfam family "Bacterial small subunit ribosomal RNA", at positions 524 to 776 of the family's 1533-position model. The record is from RNAcentral.
UACGUAGGGGGCAAGCGUUGUCCGGAUUUAUUGGGCAUAAAGAGCGUGUAGGCGGCCAGGUAGGUCGGCUGUGAAAACUCGAGGCUCAACCUCGAGCUGUCGGCCGAAACCAUCUGGCUAGAGUCCGGAAGAGGAGAAUGGAAUUCCCGGUGUAGCGGUGAAAUGCGCAGAUAUCGGGAAGAACACCCGUGGCGAAGGCGGUUCUCUGGGACGGUACUGACGCUGAGACGCGAAAGCGUGGGGAGCGAACAGG